Molecule: ribosomal RNA, 492 nt
Filed under: uncultured bacterium
Lineage: Bacteria
Description: partial 16S ribosomal RNA
Rfam family: Bacterial small subunit ribosomal RNA
Source: RNAcentral
AGUGAACGCUGGCGGUAUGCCUAACACAUGCAAGUCGAACGGAAGCACAGUAAGAUCUUGCCUUUACGGGUGGCGAGUGGCGGAUGGGUGACGAAUACAUCGGAAUCUACUUUUUCGUGGGGGAUAACGUAGGGCAACUUACGCUAAUACCUCAUACGACCUACCGGUUAAUGCAGGGGUUCUUCGGACCUUUCGUGUCUGAAUUAGCCGAUGUCGGAUUAGCUAGUUGGGUGGGUAAAGGCCCACCAAGGCAACGAUCCGUAGCUGGUCUGAGAGGAUGAUCAGCCACACUGGAACUGAGACACGGUCCAGACUCCUACGGGAGGCAGCAGUGGGGAAUAUUGGACAAUGGGCGCAAGCCUGAUCCAGCCAUACCGCGUGGGUGAAGAAGGCCUUCGGGUUGUAAAGCCCUUUUGUUGGGAAAGAAAAGCAGCAGGUUAAUACCCCGCUGUUCUGACGGUACCCAAAGAAUAAGCACCGGCUAACUUCGUG